UGGGGAAUAUUGGGCAAUGGGCGAAAGCCUGACCCAGCAACGCCGCGUGAGGGAAGAAGGCCUUCGGGUUGUAAACCUCUGUCUUUGGUGACGAAACAAAUGACGGUAGCCAAAGAGGAAGCCCCGGCUAACUACGUGCCAGCAGCCGCGGUAAUACGUAGGGGGCGAGCGUUGUCCGGAAUUACUGGGCGUAAAGGGUGCGUAGGUGGCCUUUUAAGUUGGAUGUGAAAUCCCCGGGCUUAACUUGGGUGGUGCAUCUAAUACUGGAGGGCUAGAGUGCAGGAGAGGGAAGCGGAAUUCCUAGUGUAGCGGUGAAAUGCGUAGAUAUUAGGAGGAACACCAGUGGCGAAGGCGGCUUUCUGGACUGUAACUGACACUGAGGCACGAAAGCGUGGGGAGCAAACA
This 405-nucleotide ribosomal RNA is filed under the name uncultured prokaryote. RNAcentral's name for it is "bacterial SSU rRNA". It matches the Rfam family "Bacterial small subunit ribosomal RNA", at positions 355 to 774 of the family's 1533-position model. The record is from RNAcentral.